RNAcentral lists this ribosomal RNA (716 nucleotides) under uncultured bacterium. RNAcentral describes it as "bacterial SSU rRNA". It matches the Rfam family "Bacterial small subunit ribosomal RNA", at positions 338 to 1068 of the family's 1533-position model. The record is from RNAcentral.
CCUACGGGAGGCAGCAGUGGGGAAUAUUGCGCAAUGGGCGAAAGCCUGACGCAGCGACGCCGCGUGAGGGACGAAGGCCUUCGGGUUGUAAACCUCUUUCAGCAGGGACGAAGCGCAAGUGACGGUACCUGCAGAAGAAGCACCGGCCAACUACGUGCCAGCAGCCGCGGUAAUACGUAGGGUGCAAGCGUUGUCCGGAAUUAUUGGGCGUAAAGAGCUCGUAGGCGGUUUGUCGCGUCGACUGUGAAAACCCGAGGCUUAACCUCGGGCCUGCAGUCGAUACGGGCAGACUAGAGUUCGGUAGGGGAGACUGGAAUUCCUGGUGUAGCGGUGAAAUGCGCAGAUAUCAGGAGGAACACCGGUGGCGAAGGCGGGUCUCUGGGCCGAUACUGACGCUGAGGAGCGAAAGCGUGGGGAGCGAACAGGAUUAGAUACCCUGGUAGUCCACGCCGUAAACGUUGGGCGCUAGGUGUGGGGGUCUUUCCACGAUCUCCGUGCCGCAGCUAACGCAUUAAGCGCCCCGCCUGGGGAGUACGGCCGCAAGGCUAAAACUCAAAGGAAUUGACGGGGGCCCGCACAAGCGGCGGGAGCAUGCGGCUUAAUUCGACGCACGCGAAGAACCUUACCAAGGCUUGACAUACAGGGAAAUCCUCCAGAGAUGGGGGGUCCGUAAGGCCGUGCACAGGUGGUGCAUGGUUGUCCUCAGCUCGUGUCGU